CCAGACUCCUACGGGAGGCAGCAGUGGGGAAUAUUGGACAAUGGGGGGAACCCUGAUCCAGCGACGCCGCGUGAGUGAAGAAGUAUUUCGGUAUGUAAAGCUCUAUCAGCAGGGAAGAAAGAAAUGACGGUACCUGACUAAGAAGCCCCGGCUAACUACGUGCCAGCAGCCGCGGCAAUACGUAGGGGGCAAGCGUUAUCCGGAUUUACUGGGUGUAAAGGGAGCGUAGACGGCAAUACAAGUCGGAAGUGAAGUGCCCGGGCUUAACCUGGGAACUGCUUUGGAAACUGUAUGGCUGGAGUGCUGGAGAGGUAAGCGGAAUUCCUAGUGUAGCGGUGAAAUGCGUAGAUAUUAGGAGGAACACCAGUGGCGAAGGCGGCUUACUGGACAGUAACUGACGUUGAGGCUCGAAAGCGUGGGGAGCAAACAGGAUUAGAUACCCCAGUAC
This 448-nucleotide ribosomal RNA is filed under the name uncultured bacterium. Its description in RNAcentral is "bacterial SSU rRNA". It matches the Rfam family "Bacterial small subunit ribosomal RNA", at positions 331 to 793 of the family's 1533-position model. The record is from RNAcentral.